Molecule: transfer RNA, 73 nt
Filed under: Trichonephila inaurata madagascariensis
Lineage: Eukaryota; Metazoa; Arthropoda; Arachnida; Araneae; Nephilidae
Rfam family: tRNA
About the family: Transfer RNA (tRNA) molecules are approximately 80 nucleotides in length. Their secondary structure includes four short double-helical elements and three loops (D, anti-codon, and T loops). Further hydrogen bonds mediate the characteristic L-shaped molecular structure. tRNAs have two regions of fundamental functional importance: the anti-codon, which is responsible for specific mRNA codon recognition, and the 3' end, to which the tRNAs corresponding amino acid is attached (by aminoacyl-tRNA synthetases). tRNAs cope with the degeneracy of the genetic code in two manners: having more than one tRNA (with a specific anti-codon) for a particular amino acid; and 'wobble' base-pairing, i.e. permitting non-standard base-pairing at the 3rd anti-codon position.
Source: Rfam by way of RNAcentral
GUCCCUGUAGCGCAAUGGACAGCGCGUUGUACUGCUAAUCCAAAGGUCGUGGGUUCGAAUCCCACCUGGGACG